CAUCAUCAUUUUAGCACCAUUUUUUGAAAUGACGUAAAUUAUUCAACAAAAAGAUUAAACACAGCUUAUAAUUGACGUUACUUGCAAACAUCUUUUACAAACAUCAAUAAUAGAUAUCAGUCAUCAUUGUUACAUUGAAAAUUAUUCUUCACAAAUGGCUAUAAAAUGUAUUAAAUUUGAUUCAAACAUAAUCAUUGCCACAUUAUCUUAUACAAGUAUAUAUGAACAAUAUUUCUAUUAAGGUUCGAACGGGCUCGAAACACUGAGUUUUCAUUAUACUAGUAGUAUUUUGGGGAUGUUUCCUCGUGGAGGCUGAAUUUACCGACCGUAGUGCCAAAGAUACCUUCUUUGCCCACCCUGGCGUGUAAGUCGCCAAGCACGAUUUUCACAUCGUGGCGGGGGCAUCUCUCAUAAGUGCGCUCCAAGCACUCAUAAAAGGCAUCUUUGGUCACAUCGUCCUUCUCUUCCGUCGGGGCGUGGGCGCAAAUCAGCGAUAUGUUGAAGAACCUCGCUUUGAUGCGGAUUGUGGCUAGACGUUCAUUCACCGCAGUGAAUGAUAGUACUCGGCGACGAAGUCUCUCUCCCACCACGAAUCCAACACCAAACUUGCGCUCCUUUAUAUGGCCACUGUAGUAAAUGUCACAAGGACCUACUUGUCUCUGUCCUUGUCCCGUCCAUCGCAUUUCUUGGACGGCGGUGAUGUCAGCCUUUAUUUUCACGAGGACAUCAACCAGCUGGGCAGCGGCACCUUCCCAAUUAAGGGACCGGACAUUCCAGGUGCAUGCCCUCAAUUCGUAGUCCUUAUUUCGUUUGCCAUGGUCGUCAUCAAAAAGGGGGUCACUCAUCCGAGGCUGUUGUUCCUUUUCAUUGGGAGUGUUUUUUUACGUGGCGGGUCCCAAACCCAGCGCACAACCCUAUGCAGGGGAUGUUUCGCCUUCUCACUCUAGCUCGCCUUCAAACGGAUGUUCUUAGGCUACCCAGAGGAUACUUGGUCAAAGACCGGAAGUCGUGAGCUGCUUGAGUCAUAUGCAAAAGAAUCGUUUCUGGCCACUCCCAAGUGAAUGGCGAUCAGAGAACUUUCCUCACUUGCGUGAACUUCUACACAUGACUCCAUCCUCCGGGGCCCGAAAUAUGGUUAUCUGUAGUACUAGAUUCCAGCAUAAGAAGAUACAUCAAGCUACCUGGCUGUCUCCGGAUCGAAAAACCACCAACCAGAUCGAUCAUGUUGUGAUAGACGGAAGACACGUCUCCAGUGUUUUAGAUGUGCGUGCGCUCCGAGGUCCUAACAUCGACUCGGACCACUAUAUUGUUGCAGCCAAAAUUCGCACGCGCCUCUGUGCAGCAAAAAACGCACGCCAACAAACACAAGGAAGGUUCGACGUCGAGAAGCUGCAAUCACAACAGACAGCCGAACGUUUUUCUACUCGGCUUGCACUCCUGCUCUCUGAGAGCACUCAUCAACAACUCGGUAUAAGGGAACUGUGGGACGGCAUUUCAAACUCCUUACGUACAGCUGCAACCGAAACCAUUGGUUUUCGGAAAGUGCAAAAGAACAGCUGGUACGACGAGGAGUGCCGUGUCGCAGCGGAGAGAAAACAGGCUGCCUACCACGCAACGUUACGAUCGACCACAACACGUGCGGGAUGGGAUAGAUACCGAGAGUUGAAGAGGGAAGCAAGACGCAUUUGCAGACAGAAGUAGAAAGAGGCCGAAAUGCGUAAGUACAAACAGCUUGAUAAGCUGGCCGAAAGGGGUAAUGCUCGAAAAUUCUACGAAAAAAUGCGGCGGCUUACAGAAGAUUUCAAGACCGGAGCAUACUCUUGUAAAACCCCCAAAGGUGAUCUAGUUACCGAGAGCAUACUUAGAUUAUGGAGGGAACACUUCUCCAGCCUGCUGAAAGGCAGUGCACGUAUAACACCAGGAGAAGGCGAACCCGAUUCCCCAAUCGAUGACGAUGGAGCAGACGUUCCAUUACCCGGCCAUGAAGAAGUUCGAAUAGCAAUUGCCCGCCUGAAGAACAACAAAGCGGCAGGGGCCGACGGAUUGCCGGCCGAGCUAUUCAAACACGGCGGCGAAGAGCUGAUAAGGGGCAUGCAUCAGCUUCUUUGUAAAAUAUGGUCGGACGAAAGCAUGCCCAACGAUUGGAAUUUAAGUGUGCUCUACCCAAUCCAUAAAAUAGCAGACCCCACAAUCGGCGCCAACUACCGUGGGAUUAGCCUCCUCAACAUUGUAUAUAAGGUUCUAUCGAGCGUAUUGUGUGAAAGAUUAAAGCCCACCGUCAACAAACUGGUUGGACCUUAUCAGUGUGGCUUCAGACCUGGUAAAUCAACAACCGACCAGAUAUUCACCAUGCGCCAAAUCUUGGAAAAGGCCCGUGAAAAGAGAAUCGACACUCACCACCUAUUCGUCGAUUUCAAAGCUGCUUUCGACAGCACGAAAAGGAGCUGCCUUUAUGCCGCGAUGUCUGAAUUUGGUAUCCCCGCAAAACUGAUACGGCUGUGUAAACUGACCAAAAGCUCCGUCAGGAUCGGGAAGAACCUCUCCGAGCCGUUCGAUACCAAACGAGGUUUCAGACAAGGCGACUCCCUAUCGUGUGACUUUUUCAAUCUGCUGCUGGAGAAAAUAGUUCAAGCUGCAGAACUUAAUCGAGCAGGUACAAUCUUUUAUAAGAGUGUACAGCUGCUGGCGUAUUCCGGUGAUAUUGAUAUCAUCGGCCUUAGCACUCGCGCUGUUAGUUCUGCUUUCUUCAGACUGUACAAGGAAGCAAAAGAAAUGGGUCUGGCAGUGAACGAGGGCAAGACGAAAUAUCUCCUGUCAUCAAACAAACAGUCGUCGCACUCGCGACUUGGACUCACGUCACUGUUGACAGUCAUAACUUUGAAGUUGUAGAUAAUUUCGUCUAUCUUGGAACCAGCGUAAACACCACCAACAAUGUCAGCCUAGAAAUCCAAUGCAGGAUAACUCUUGCCAACAGGUGCUACUUCGCACUGAGUAGGCAAUUGAGAAGCAAAGUCCUCUCUCGACAGACAAAAACCAAACUCUAUAAGUCACUCAUAAUUCCCGUCCUGCUAUAUGGUGCAGAGGCUUGGACGAUGUCAACAACGGAUGAGUCGACGUUGCGAGUUUUCGAGAGAAAAAUUCUUCGAAAGAUUUAUGGUCCUUUGCGCGUUGGCCACGGCGAAUAUCGCAUUCGAUGGAACGAUGAGCUGUUCGAGAUAUACGACGACAUUGACAUAGUUCAGCCAAUUAAGAGACAGCGGCUACGCUGGCUAGGCCAUGUCGUCCGGAUGGAUGAAAACACUCCAGCUCUGAAAGUAUCCGACGCAGUACCCGCCGCGGGAAGCAGAGGAAGAGGAAGACCUCCACUCCGUUGGAAGGACCAAGUGGGGAAGGACCUGGCUUCGCUUGGAAUAUCCAAUUGGCGCCACGUAGCGAAAAGAAGAAACGACUGGCGCGCGGUUGUUAACUCCGCUAUAAUCGCGUAAGCGGUGUCUACGCCAAUUAAGAAGAAGAAGUAGUAUUUUUAGCACUUUGUAGUUUUAAAUAACCUUGUUUUGUGAGCAUUGCAAAGAAAAAUGGUCCCAACAAAUUUUUGUUCGUCUAUAAAUUGAUACAUUAUUCGUUAGAUGAGGUUAGGUAAUCAUGCUGAUAUUUGUGACCCAUCAACGCCGGCCCGCUGUGAUGCACAGGAUUCCUGAGGCGGUUAAUAUCAAUUCCAGCCAAUUCAUCUGGUUCUCAGAAGGUAUAAAUAACUUAGUUUAGUGAGAACUGUACAGUAUGGGAAAAAGUUCUAGAUGUUUCAAUCUCACUUUGACCCUUUUAGAACUGCUAUCAUUGCGACAAGAUGAACCUUUAUAAGAGCAAAUAAUUAAAUAUAAAGAUCUCGCUACCGGUUACUAACCAACGCUUCUUGAGCUCACACGAGGUGCGCAGAUCCAGUGGUAGAGUAAAAGAGGCCAGCGAAUUACUGACUGAUUUUUAGCCCAAACCAGCCUUUUAACGAAGAAAGUUGUUUUUAUUUCUUGUGAGGUCAGAUCCCUAGUGAGCGCACUGCUAAUGAGCUCAGGGUCAGUAUUGUCAUUCUGCUACACUUCUUCAAAAAACGGCGUUGGAAAUAGUGCAACCACUGCUGCCAUAAUUGUAGCCACCUCCGAUGAGGCUCCACAACCUACUCCAAAGAGGGUUUAGCAGUGGUUUUGCAUGGAGUCUUAAUUUUGGUGAUAAAUUCUCUUUCUAAUACUUCUUCUGCAGCAGUAAAGCCGACCUUUGGCUUCUUCAUUAUCUUCCUAAUGUUAAGCCUAGAGUACAGCUUCCUACGCAGGUACUUCUGUUACAUUCUAUUCAACCUCAAAGGCUCUAUUGACUGCCGAGUUUUUCGAGCCCAAAGUUUCUCAAGAGUUUUAAUAGAAAGAAGGAGGAGCUAAUAGAUCUUACCGGCUUCCGGAUUGAGCUGACCGGUCUCCAAGUUUUGAGAAUGUGGCCUAAGCUAAUUUCAUAUUACGUUUCUGCGCUUUUGCAGAAUUCUUUAUAUCCAACUUGUUGCUAAAAACGCUUUUGUGGGCUUUUUUAAACAGUCUUCUUUGAAAAUCUGAUUUUUGAUGAUUGCACGGUGCAAUAAAGAUGUUUUACUUUGUUUAUUGCAUAAUUGGCCUUAUAAGGGCGAUAACCUAACCUUUAUUUUCCUAAGCUCUGAUAGGUUUCCGAGGUGGGAGGAAGUGCUGGACCUCACGCUAUCAACAGACACAUACUACAUCGUUGUGGAUAACUGGAGGGUAUCCGGUGGGCCUUCUAUAUCGGAUCACUCCUGGAUAUUGUUCAGCAUCCGCGAGAAAUACAGUACUCCUCUCAAAUAUCGGAACCCUAGAAAGUGGGGAAAAUUUACCAGUAUAGCAACAAAAUGCCUUGAAACGGAGGUAAUACGAGAAUUAGUGAUCCCCAGGAACUAGAUUCAGAAGUAGAGAAGUUGGAAAAAAUCUUAACUACAACUUUCAAUAAAUCCACAUCGCUAACAGUUCUGAAAAAGAGAAAGUCUCUUCCUUGGUGAAACAGCGAACUCAAGAAUUUGAGAACACAACUAAGGAAAGCUUUCAAUAAGAGUUUUAAAACCAAAAUCUUGCAGCCAUAUGAAGAUAUUAUGAAAAGAUACAAAAAAUCAGUCAGGAAAGCUAAAAACGACUGGCGAUAUUUCUGCACAUCGAUAGAAACCGCAAGGCUGAGUAAAAUGCUAUCCAAAGAUCAUACUAAUACUGCCUACAUUAAGGUAAAAGGAAAUGAUUGGAUCUACUCUGUAAAAGAAUCUCUGGAGGUACUUAUUACAACGCACUUCCCGGGAGUCAGCAAACGCCUUUAACGAGGGUUCAACCAGAAUCACCGAUAAACGCAGCUGAUUACCGAGGCCAAAUAGUAGGCAAAAGCAAAACCAAGUAUGCCAUAAAUAGUGUCUCACCAUUCAAAGAGGCACGUCCAGACGAGAUUAUGCCCAAAAUGCUGCAAAAGUUGGUAGAACCAAUGGUUUUAAGGGUUGAAGAUAUAUACAAAGCGAGCAUUCAACUAUCUUACAUCGCAAGAAGUUGGAAAAGAAUUAAAGUAGUGUCCCUUCCAAAACCAGCCAGAAGAACACACGAUAAUGCCGAGGAUUUUAUACCUAUAAGCCUCACCUCCUUUAUGCUGGAGGUACUAGAAAGGCGAAUAGAUUUAAAUUUUAUGGAAGUCCCAACAUGCAUACAUAAAAGGCCCAUCAACCGAAACUGAAAGGACUGACUGUCCUUCACGAAGUGAUAAGUGUAAUUGAAAAAUCACUACACUACAAACAAUACACCAUGGCUGCAUUUCUAGACGCCUUCAAUAAUAUAGAACUGAAUGCUAUAAUUGAUUCUCUGACACAUGGUGGCAUAGAUGACACUGUGUGCAGAUGGAAUGUCGAAUGAUUGUUUUUUUUUUCGCUUUUUGUAAUUCUUUUACAGACAAAUUUACGGAGUGCUGAUUUUCUCUUUUCUUACCGAAGCGUAAUAAGUAAGCUACUACUCUUUGCAGCUUUAACCAGCUAGAAUGUCAAUUUUUUAGGUUGUCGAUGAAUUGAUUUUCGGUUUUUAAUGUAUUAGUAUUGUUGCUGUGUUGAUAUCUGCAACUGUUGGCCAUUUGUUUUCCGACAAUGCUAGUCAUUUAGGCCCAAGUAUCCAUGCGUAGUAAUUUGGGAGAUGUGCCCAAAAAAUAAGGUGACAUUGUAUUUAUUUUGAAAAUUCUUUAUUUAUUCUUCCAAAUCAAUUUCAUCCCCUUCAAAGUAAUCCCCUCCCGAUGCAAUACACUUAUGCCAACGGAUUUUCCAAUCUUUGAAACACUGGUUGUAGUCACUUUCCGGGAUGGACUUCAGUUCCCUCUUCGCUGCGGUUUGAAUCACCUCUAUCGUAUAAAAACGGUGUCCCUGGAGCGGUCUUUUAGGCUUGGUGAACAGCCAGAAGUCGCACGGCGCCAGAUCAGGUGAAUACGGUGGUUGCGGAACGAUAUGGGUUGAGUUUUUGGCGAAAUGAUCACGAAUUACGAUAUUCGCUCGAUUGAUCGGUUGUCAUCGCCAGUUAUAGUGCGUUUCAUGACACCCUGGUAGUCGAAAAGCAUCGUUUCACACACUUCAACGCGACGCCUUUUUUUCCAAAAAUUCAAUGUUUUCGGUACCAGUCGCGAUUUGACGCGCUUGAGGCCCAAAACAUACUUCAAAAUGGUAUUGGCUGAGCCUUUCGAUAUCCCAACUUCAUCAGCAAGGUCUCUAAUUGUUAAUCGACGGUUUUUCAACACCAAAUCUUUGAUUUGUUGAACGUGAGCUUCAUCGGUUGAGGUUGAUGGUCGCCCUGGACGCUCUCCGUCUUCGACACGUUCACGGCCGGCUUGGAACUCACUAUACCACUUGUACACAUUUUUUUAGACAUAGCAUCAUCACCAAAGGCUUUCUGCACCAUCCUCAACGUAUCUGCAGCAGAAAAUUGAUUCCGUAAACAAAAUUUAAUGCAAAUUCUUUGCUCAACAAAUUUCGACAUCGCAAAAAACGAAAAAUUCACUUUUAGCAGCUCACAAAACGACACGUAUCUCAAACAUUAAUGAAUAUAUUGACAUGAAAUUUGACAUUAAUGUGACUGACAGUACUACCAACCUAAAAAAAAAAUAAUUCUCCAAAUCCUUCGACGCGCACAGUUUAAAUUCAAAUGUUACCUUAUUUUUUGGGCACACGCGGACGCGGAAGCAGCAGGAUUAUCUUUCGUGCUUACGUGUCUCCAGGUUGCUUGUGGUAUAAGUUUUUGGAUUUCUUCUACUCGAUUUCAAACAAACUUAUCUUUGUUUUUGAAUGUGCCAAUCCAGCCUAGGGUUAUUGUAGAAUCGCUUCAUGCAUAAACUUUAUGACUUCUUGUGAUGAUUUUACAAACUUUUUAAGCGGAUUAACUUUUGUUUUUGCAGUUAACAGCUUUACGGAAUUGCCAAUUUUGACAUAAAUGACUGCAGCAUACACCUUUCCGGAAGCUUUACCAAAUCCAUGAAUUUCAACCUCGGAUUGCAAAUGUGUUUCUAUCCAUCGUGGGAUACGCACGUUUUCCAAAUCGUUUAUAUUUUCUUGGAAGAUCGACCAUUCUGAUUGUAGACUUUUUGAUAGCUGCUCAUCCCAGUCAGAUUGCUGCAUACAAAGUUUCUGAAUGAAUAGCUUUGCUAUGAUUGUUAUUGAUGAGAGCCAACCCAGUGGAUGAAAUAUUUGAGCAAGCUGUGAAAGAACGCUCCUUUUAGUGGUCUAUUUGGCAUUUGUCAAAUUAAUUCUGAAUUGGAAUUCGUCUUGUUAUGGAUCCCAACAUAGUCCAACAGUUUUUCCUGCUUCAUUUUCUUUAGUUUGAAUUAUUUCGUUGUCUUCUUUCGCUUUUAUAUUUCGUGUUAUGCUACUGCAGUUUGAAAGCCAUUUUUGAAGAUGAAAUCCAAAGAUUUGAAGAUGGUUGCUGAUGCCUUCUUGAAUAGCUUGACAUUGUUUAACUGAAUCUGCGCCAGUCAUAAGGUCAUCCAUAUAGAAAGAAGUCUUCUUUGAUUAAUGUUUGGAGCUGUUUAUUUGGACAUUUAUUUGCAAUUUCAAAUAAUAUACAUACGAGUUAAUGACAGCCUCCACACAGCCACUUGACCAUAACUGUAAACAAUAUUGAAUCUUUACACUUUGUAGUUGUGCGGCCUCAUACAUUAAAAUAGAAUUCGAUAUACUUUUUCCGUUCACAUUAGAAUAAACCAUUCUUAUCUAAACAAUAUUUGUAGCCCUCACAAGAAGGCAUAAUAAAAUCAAAACAGAACACUUAACGUUCUGCCUAAAAAUGCUGAAUAUAUUAAUGUAAAUUGACACUUUCUUCGUUUCAAACUCAACUUCAAUAUGUAAUAACUUUAAGUAAAUAAUUCUUCUUCUUCUUAGACACCGCUUACGCGAUUAUAGCCGAGUCAACAACAGCGCGCCAAUCGUUUCUUCUCUUCGCUACGUGGCGCCAAUUGGAUAUUCCAAGCGAGGCCAGGUCCUUCUCCACUUGGUCCUUCCACCGGAGUGGAGGUCUUCCUCUUCCUCUGCUUCCCGCGGCGGGUACUGCGUCGAAUACUUUCAGAGCUGGAGUGUUUUCAUCCAUCCGGACAACAUGACCUAGCCAGCGUAGCCGCUGUCUUUUAAUUCGCUGAACUAUGUCGAUGUCGUCGUAUAUCUCGUACAGCUCAUCGUUCCAUCGAAUGCGGUAUUCGCCGUGGCCAACGCGCAAAGGACCAUAAAUCUUCCGCAGAACUUUUCUCUCGAAAACUCGCAACGUCGACUCAUCGGUUGUUGUCAUCGUCCAAGCCUCUGCACCAUAUAGCAGGACGGGAAUUAUGAGCGACUUAUAGAGUUUGGUUUUUGUUCGUCGAGAGAGGACUUUACUUUUCAAUUGCCUACUCAGUCCGAAGUAGCACCUGUUGGCAAGAGUAAUCCUGCGUUGGAUUUCCAGGCUGACAUUGUUGGUGGUGUUAAUGCUGGUUCCUAAAUAGACGAAAUUAUCUACAACUUCAAAGUUAUGACUGUCAACAGUGACGUGAGUGCCAAGUCGCGAGUGCGACGACUGUUUGUUUGAUGACAGGAGAUAUUUCGUCUUGCCCUCGUUCACUGCCAGACCCAUUUGCGUUGCUUCCUUGUUCAGUCUGGAGAAAGCAGAACUAACGGCGCGGGUGUUGAGACCGAUGAUAUCAAUAUCAUCGGCAUACGCCAGCAGCUGUACACUCUUAUAAAAGAUUGUACCUGCUCGGUUCAGUUCUGCAGCUCUAAUAAUUUUCUCCAGCAGCAGAUUGAAAAAGUCGCACGAUAGGGAGUCGCCUUGUCUGAAACCUCGUUUGGUAUCGAACGGCUCGGAGAGGUCCUUCCCGAUCCUGACGGAGCUUUUGGUCCCGCUCAACGUCAGUUUACACAGCCGUAUUAGUUUUGCGGGGAUACCAAAUUCAGACAUUGCGGCAUAAAGGCAGCUCCUUUUCGUGCUAUCGAAAGCAGCUUUGAAAUCGACGAAUAGGUGGUGAGUGUCGAUUCUCCUUUCACGGGUCUUUUCCAAGAUUUGGCGCAUGGUGAAUAUCUGGUCGGUUGUUGAUUUUCCAGGUCUGAAGCCACACUGAUAAGGUCCAAUCAGUUUGUUGACGGUGGGCUUUAAUCUUUCACACAAUACGCUCGAUAGAACCUUGUACGCGAUGUUGAGGAGGCUAAUCCUACGGUAGUUGGCGCAGAUUGUGGGGUCUCCUUUUUUAUGGAUUGGGCAUAGCACACUUAAAUUCCAAUCGUUGGGCAUGCUCUCAUCCGACCAUAUUUUGCAAAGAAGCUGAUGCAUGCUCCUUAUCAGUUCUUCGCCGCCGUGUUUGAAUAGCUCGGCCGGCAAUCCGUCUGCCCCUGCCGCUUUGUUGUUCUUCAGGCGGGCAACUGCUAUUCGAACUUCGUCAUGGUCGGGCAAUGGAACGUCUGCUCCAUCGUCAUCGAUUGGGGUAUCGGAUUCGCCUUCUCCUGGUGCUAUGUGUUCACUGCCAUUCAGCAGGCUGGAGAAGUGUUCCCUCCAUAAUCUAAGUAUGCUCUGGGCAUCGGUGGCUAGAUCACCUUUGGGGGUUCUACAGGAGUAUGCUCCGGUCUUGAAACCUUCUGUAAGUCGCCGCAUUUUUUCGUAGAAUUUUCGAGCAUUACCCCUGUCGGCCAGCUUAUCAAGCUGUUCGUACUCACGCAUUUCGGCCUCUUUCUUCUUCUGUCUGCAAAUGCGUCUCGCUUCCCUCUUCAACUCUCGGUAUCUAUCCCAUCCCGCACGUGUUGUGGUCGAUCGUAACGUUGCGAGGUAGGCAGCCUGUUUUCUCUCCGCUGCGACACGGCACUCCUCAUCGUACCAGCUGUUCUUUUGCACUUUCCGAAAACCAAUGGUUUCGGUUGCAGCUGUACGUAAGGAGUUUGAAAUGCCGUCCCACAGUUCCCUUAUACCGAGUUGUUGACGAGUGCUCUCAGAGAGCAGGAGUGCAAGCCGAGUAGAAAAUCGUUCGGCUGUCUGUUGUGAUUGCAGCUUCUCGAUGUCGAACCUUCCUUGUGUUUGUUGGCGUGCGUUUUUUGCUGCACAGAGGCGGGUGCGAAUCUUGGCUGCAACAAGAUAGUGGUCCGAGUCGAUGUUAGGACCUCGGAGCGCACGCACAUCUAAAACACUGGAGACGUGUCUUCCGUCUAUCACAACAUGAUCGAUCUGGUUGGUGGUUUUUCGAUCCGGAGACAGCCAGGUAGCUUGAUGUAUCUUCUUAUGCUGGAAUCUAGUACUACAGAUAACCAUAUUUCGGGCCCCGGCGAAGUCGAUCAGCCUCAACCCAUUUGGGGAUGUUUCCUCGUGGAGGCUGAAUUUACCGACCGUAGUGCCAAAGAUACCUUCUUUGCCCAUCCUGGCGUUGAAGUCGCCAAGCACGAUUUUGACAUCGUGGCGGGGGCAUCUCUCAUAAGUGCGCUCCAAGCACUCAUAAAAAGCAUCUUUGGUCACAUCGUCCUUCUCUUCCGUCGGGGCGUGGGCGCAAAUCAGCGAUAUGUUGAAGAACCUCGCUUUGAUGCGGAUUGUGGCUAGACGUUCAUUCUCCGGAGUGAAUGAUAGUACUCGGCGACGGAGUCUCUCUCCCACCACGAAUCCAACAAUAAAUAAUUAGUAAAUGUAUAAAUAUAAGUAACUUGGAAAUAAACGAUAGAUUUUGUCUCCGGCGAUCCAGUCGACACGACGUGUUUCAUUUUCUCUGCGCGUUGGCAGAUAGAAAAAAUAUAUUUUUUUACAAAUUCCCGCGAUACGGGAAUGAAUUUACGUACUACUAAUAUGGAGUUAAUGCAGUACCAUAAGUCACUGUGGUCAAGUUAUAUUCGUCAAUUUUGUUCAAAGGACUUUAGCGCCAUAAAAUUUUAUGAUAUUCGCGCUCCUUUUUAGCAAUUUUUAUUUGUCUGAACAUUUUUUCCACAUCAGCAGUGAUAACUAUUUUCCAAAGUCUCCAUUUGAGAAGAAUGUCAAAUAUGUCUCUCUGUAGGACCGGAAAACGUGAUGUCAUUGAGGCUUUUUCCGUUCGAAAAUUUUGCAGAUGCAUUCAAUACAACGCGCAACUUCGUUGUUAAGCUAUUUUCUCGUAUUCUCUAUUCUCGUGGUGUGGUAGAUAAUAUUUACCAUUUGAGUGAUCAUUUGCCUUGAUCAUAUGACCAAGGUCCUUAUAUUCGUUGAUGAACUGAUGGUAGUCCUUUUUAAUUUGUUGCCUUUUUGAAAUAUCUUUUCCAUAGAAACGAGGCGCACCACAGCUUGUUUGCGAGAAUCACACAAAUUUUUAUCUUCUUUAAAAGGUAUUUCUACAAUAAAUCGCCCAUUAUCAUCUUCUUUUAUGGUUUCUUUAAAUUGCUUUAAACAUGAAUCACCUUCUUCGAUAUUGUUUUCAUCUGGUAUUUCUUCCAGUUCCUAAAAUAGCUCUAGAUUGGAAGUCGUGGAUGUUAUCUUACUGAAUUUUUUUUGUUUGAUGAUUCCGGAUAAAAUCCAACCGAAUUUUGUCGCUUGUCCAAGGACACUUUUUUGACACCGUCUUCAAUGAUUCGGCUAAAAAUGUCUCCACCAAUUACCAUGUCUAUUUUAUCUGCUUUAUUAAACAAUGGGUCAGCAAGUGUAUAAUUUUUCCAUUGUUUCACAUCAUAUUUAAAUGAUUGAUAUGGUUGAGCAGUGGUCAGUGAUGAUAAAACUACUGCAUCUACUUUUUCCACAUGUUAGCUUAGGAAUCUUGGUUUUAUUUGUACCUGAACCUUGAAUUUUUUUCGCCAACCACAACACCUCCCAGCCCAUGGAGUUUUGUUUGAAUUUUUGUCCUUGGUACACCUAAUAUCUGCGCUGCUUCUACAGAUAUUGAUGUUAUUUGAGACCCUUGGUCAAUUAGAGCUCUUAACAAUACAUAUUCGCCAUUCGCCGCUUUUGCUUUUAUCUGAGCUGGGGCAGAAUUACUUUUGUUGAUGUUGAUUUUGUAGACAUUGAUGCUUUACUAUCCCCAGACUCUGGAUGUAGAAGUUCGUUAUGAUUUUUAUUGCAAAUUUUGCAUUUUAAAUCACUAUCACAAUUUUUGAACCGAUUAUGGUUGAGGCAUCUGUAGCAAAUUUUUUUAUCUUUUGCAUAUUUACGUCUUUCUUCUAAAGAUAUAUUCUUAAGUUUUCGGCAAUCAAUAAUUAUAUGACCCAAUAUCUUGCAAUAGGUACAUUUUAUACUUUGCUGCCUUGCGUUGAAAGACAUAUGUAUGGUUUGCUUUGUAUGUUUGCAGCUUGCGGUUUUUGUACAAUUGUUGUUUAUCCUCUACUGCUUUUAAUGUUUGGAAGUGCUGGUCCAGGAAUCCUUGAAUGUCAGGCUGAAGAACGAUUAGCGAUGAUAGAAGAGCAACGUCUCAUGGAAGAAAAACGUCAGCGAAUGCGUAAAGAAGAAGAAAAGCGUGUAAAAGAAGAACAAAAAAUGAUAUUAGGGAAAAAUAAUUCACGGCCGAAGCUC
Bactrocera dorsalis (oriental fruit fly) is the source of this 13007-nucleotide RNA transcript. It is a transcript of the gene named UPF0430 protein CG31712, with no coding region annotated. The record is from RefSeq and is a predicted model, not a curated record. Lineage: Eukaryota; Metazoa; Arthropoda; Insecta; Diptera; Tephritidae. The transcript has 2 exons.